CUUCACUUUGCUUCAAGAGUUCUAGCCCCUAGAACUCGACUAGCCUCAUACCGAUUUAAGUUUCUUCAAGAACCAGACCUCACCCUCUUAGAAUCUGCUCUAAACUUCUAAUUCUCCUUCUUUAGGAUCCUUACAACCCUUGUUAGGAUCAAAUAAGGCUUUGUCUUAAAUCCCAAAGCCUUAUCCUAAAACUAAGAUAGGUUGUAAGAA
Molecule: long non-coding RNA, 210 nt
Filed under: Elaeis guineensis (African oil palm)
Lineage: Eukaryota; Viridiplantae; Streptophyta; Magnoliopsida; Arecales; Arecaceae
Description: long non-coding RNA (EGUI_LNC038742)
Source: RNAcentral